Molecule: small nuclear RNA, 337 nt
Filed under: Phaethon lepturus (White-tailed tropicbird)
Lineage: Eukaryota; Metazoa; Chordata; Aves; Phaethontiformes; Phaethontidae
Description: 7SK RNA
Rfam family: 7SK RNA
About the family: 7SK was discovered as an abundant small nuclear RNA in the mid-70s but a possible function has only recently been suggested. Two independent studies have found that 7SK RNA binds the CDK9/cyclin T complex (known as elongation factor P-TEFb).
Source: Rfam by way of RNAcentral
GGAUAUGAGGAUGAUCUAACUACUACAUCUCUCACCCCUUUGAUCGCCAGGAUUGAUUCAGCUGAUCUGGGUGGCUAAGCAGGUGUCCCCUUCCUCCCUCACCGCUCCAUGUGCGUCCCUCCCGAAACUGCAUGCUCGGUCGAAGAGGACGACCUUCCCCAAUAGAGGUGUACUGUUCAUCGGUCAAGGAAAUACGGUAGCUGUGCUCCCCUGCUAGAACCUCCAAACAAGUACAUUAUAUUUGCUACUAUUUUUCCUUCAGAUUUCCAGUGAACAGUGAAAUCUAUCCAUACUUCCUCAAGCAAUUUUGAUGUUGUCUGAGAGCUUGACUGAUAAC